RNAcentral lists this non-coding RNA (25 nucleotides) under Mus musculus (house mouse). The record is from RNAcentral. Lineage: Eukaryota; Metazoa; Chordata; Mammalia; Rodentia; Muridae.
UAAGACUGUGCCUAAUUUCCUUUGG